This is a long non-coding RNA of Rosa rugosa (rugosa rose), 772 nucleotides long. RefSeq lists it as uncharacterized. Lineage: Eukaryota; Viridiplantae; Streptophyta; Magnoliopsida; Rosales; Rosaceae. The transcript is spliced from 2 exons. The record is from RefSeq and is a predicted model, not a curated record.
UCGAAAUUAUGCCCCACUGUCUGCCCCGCUGUCCGCCCGCAUUUCUGAACCAAUGGUUGGACUGAUAUCUGCCCGAAUAUUUGAAUUGACGUCUGACCGGAUUUGUGAACGCAUGUCCGCCCGGAUAUCUGCCCACACGGAUAGCGGAGUGGACUGCGGGGCAGACGCCGGAGACGCUGGAAUGAUAAGUACCUGCAAUUUGUACUCCAAGUUCCCAGAACUGUGAAUCCACGCUCAACACUUAACCAGAGAUUCACCAUUCAUGGGCUAUGACCUACGAGCAAAUACAAUACUGCGAUUACAUAUUGUAAUACUCGAAAUUAUGCAGCUGCUGAUCUUCGCAAAAAGCUGCGGCGAACCGAUCUCCCAGAUGAACUCCUUCAGUCUUGGCCCAAUGUAGUGACUCCAAACAAUCCGAAUGCAGUUUGGUCCUUCUGGAAAUACCAAUACAACAAGCACGGCAGCUGCGCCUACUGGAGAUUCCAAAGACUGGAGGCUUACUUUAGAAAAGCAGAUGACUUGUAUCGCAGUGAUAACGUACAACAUUUGUAUGAUUCAUUCACCAGCAAUCGCCAAGUCUCUGCUAUCAGAUAUAUGAAUGACGAAAAAAAUUAUGGAGGGAAAUUUCCAGGACUGCGGUGCAAUGGAACGGGAUUCCUGAUGGAAGUGAUUAUCUGUUACACAAAAAAAGCAACUAAAAUGAUUGAUUGCCCUAAACGGGGGAAUUGUACGAGGCUAAUUGAAUAUCCAAUGUAAACAGCCCCUUAGUUCA